ACAAGUGUCUGACCCUUUUUCCGCACCCUGACCACUGCUCCUCGUCUGACCCUCUGAGAGUUUGUUGCCCUGAUCUGUCUGCCCCCAUCCCUUGCCCUCCAAGCUCUGUCCAUCCCUGGGUGUGCUACGGGCCGCUACCACUGUAUUACCUGGACCUCUCUUUCCCCACUACACAAGGAAGAGGUUCCUGUUCCUUGCUCGUGCUUGCCUCUCCUUACCCUGGUCUUCAAUAAAGAAUUUUCUGAUUUUUACAUCUUGUCUGACUGAAAUUUCGGGUCCUCAGUUCUGAUCAUUACA
Non-coding RNA from Poecilia reticulata (guppy), 297 nucleotides. NCBI's taxonomy places the organism in Eukaryota, Metazoa, Chordata, Actinopteri, Cyprinodontiformes, Poeciliidae. The record is from RefSeq and is a predicted model, not a curated record.